This 450-nucleotide ribosomal RNA is filed under the name uncultured bacterium. Its description in RNAcentral is "bacterial SSU rRNA". It matches the Rfam family "Bacterial small subunit ribosomal RNA", at positions 354 to 796 of the family's 1533-position model. The record is from RNAcentral.
GUGGGGAAUAUUGGACAAUGGGCGAAAGCCUGAUCCAGCCAUGCCGCGUGUGUGAAGAAGGUCUUCGGAUUGUAAAGCACUUUAAGUUGGGAGGAAGGGCAGUAAGUUAAUACCUUGCUGUUUUGACGUUACCGACAGAAUAAGCACCGGCUAACUUCGUGCCAGCAGCCGCGGUAAUACGAAGGGUGCAAGCGUUAAUCGGAAUUACUGGGCGUAAAGCGCGCGUAGGUGGUUUUGUAAGUUGGAGGUGAAAUCCCCGGGCUCAACCUGGGAACUGCCUCCAAAACUGCAUGACUAGAGGACGGUAGAGGGUAGUGGAAUUUCCUGUGUAGCGGUGAAAUGCGUAGAUAUAGGAAGGAACACCAGUGGCGAAGGCGACUACCUGGACUGAUACUGACACUGAGGUGCGAAAGCGUGGGGAGCAAACAGGAUUAGAAACCCGGGUAGUCC